RNAcentral lists this non-coding RNA (735 nucleotides) under Colletotrichum chlorophyti. Its description in RNAcentral is "Bacterial large subunit ribosomal RNA". It matches the Rfam family "Bacterial large subunit ribosomal RNA", at positions 1129 to 1873 of the family's 2925-position model. Lineage: Eukaryota; Fungi; Ascomycota; Sordariomycetes; Glomerellales; Glomerellaceae. The record is from Rfam by way of RNAcentral.
ACCUCGUAACAGAGCGCUUGUUAAGUUUUAAAAGCAUCGAAAAUUUAACGGAUCUAAACAAUAUACCGACACCUUGUCCAUAUUUUACUAUAUAGUUUAUAUAAAUAUAGUAAUUUUGUGGGGUAGCAGAACGUUGAAUUAAAUUAGGAUAUUUCUUCUGUGAAGAAAUAUAUAACAAACAAUUCAAGUGAGAAUGGUGACAUGAGUAACGAAUAAGAAGGCGGUGGAAGACUAGGCGAAGUUCGAGCAAUCGUACCUAGCUGAAAUUCUACCUAACCCUCCGCCUAAAGCUUAUGGAUGGGGCUAGAACCCUUAAAGUAACGGCCUCUAAGUUAUAAAUCUAAAGGUUUAAACGAUGAGAAAAUCUUUUUUACUAAAUGACAACAUUUCUAAGUGAUAAGUGUGCUGGAAAAAAUAGUAAAUAUAUCUGAUUAAGUAUAUGCAAUAAACUAAAAAGAUGAGUAUAGAAAGAGAAGAUGAAAUAAACCGUACCUAGAAACUAAAACAAGUAAGCUAGUAGAGAAUACGAAGGCGUAAAUGAGCUAACAAUCAUAAAGGAACUCGGCAAACUAACUACCGUAACUUCGGGAUAAGGAGAGCUCAUUAGUCCUGAUUAAUAUCGGGUAAAAAGGAAGAAGCAUGGAAUAGUGUUGUACGACUGUUUAAUUAAAACAAAGCACUUUGCUAAAAGAUUAAAAAUCGAAGUAUUGAGUGUGAUGUCUGCCCGAUCCCGGC